This 460-nucleotide ribosomal RNA is filed under the name uncultured bacterium. RNAcentral describes it as "partial 16S ribosomal RNA". It matches the Rfam family "Bacterial small subunit ribosomal RNA", at positions 338 to 795 of the family's 1533-position model. The record is from RNAcentral.
CCUACGAGAGGCAGCAGUGAGGAAUAUUGGUCAAUGGACUAGAGUCUGAACCAGCCAAGUAGCGUGAAGGAUGACUGCCCUAUGGGUUGUAAACUUCUUUUAUAUGGGAAUAAAAUGUUCCACGUGUGGGCUUCUGUAUGUACCCUAUGAAUAAGGCUCGGCUAACGCCGUUCCAGCAGCCGCGGUUAUUCGGAGGAUCCGGGCGUUAUCCGGAUUUCUUUGGGUUAAAGGGAGCGUAGGUGGAUUUUUAAGUUAGUUGUGAAAGUUUGCGGCUCAACCGUAAAAUUGUAGUUGAAACUGGCAGUCUUGAGUACAGUAGAGGUAGGCGGAAUUCGUGGUGUAGCGGUGAAAUGCUUAGAUAUCACGAAGAACUCCGAUUGCGAAGGCAGCUCACUGGACUGCAACUGACACUGAGGCUCGAAAGUGUGGGUAUCAAACAGGAUUAGAUACCCGAGUAGUC